GCAGCAGCAGCAGCAGCAGCAGCAGCAGCAGCAGGGAGCUGCCAGCCCGCUGCCUAAGGAGGAUUUAUCUGCUUUGUUUUCCAGAGCCAGAGUGACAAAGUGCUGUGGACCCACAUCCGAUACUCAGGCAGGAGCACCAGGGGAGCAGCUGUGAACCUCUCUGCGGAGCUGGGGCCCAUCCGCAUCCACAACGGCUCCGUCCUGGUCCCCUGCGAUGGCCUCUACCUCGUGUCCCUCUGGAGCUCCAUCUACCUGGAGGAGGAGGAGGGGGACUGGCUGAGGCUGACCCUGCAGGGCAGCAGCAGAGUGCUGUGGGAGCAGACUGUGCCCAGCAAUGAGAGCAUAGUGAACCUCACCACAGUGCUCUACCUGUUUGAGCAGGACAGCAUCACGCUGUGGACCAGCUCCAACGCCAUCCUCGGGGACCUGUCCCUCAGCCUGGUGCUGGUAGCUGACAGCAAGUCCUAGCUGCAGGAGCUGGUGCAGCAUGGAAAGCACAGCCUUCCCCACCGAGCUGCAGGUUUUGGACUUGUAUGGGCUGCCUGCCCUAGAGCCCUCCCUGGGGCCGUGGAGGGCCUCACUGGGAGCGCAGAUGAACCACGGGCUUUUUAUAGUGCAAGACUUGCCUCUUUGGAGCUCUGUGCAGCUGAUUUGGCACCCAGGAUGGAUCCUUCCAACACUGGGGAAAGGGAUGCGUGGAGCUCUUGAGAAGAACAGAAAUGAAAGCCAAAGAAAGUCACCCAAGCUUAACUCACAUUCAGAGAAACCCUGAAUUUCUCUAUUUACUUGGCAGUAUCUGUAUAUAGUAGAAAUGUGUUGUGUUUUUUCUCAAAUAAAAGUCUGGUGACUCAGGAAGAUAACCUCAAGUGUCCUGAAGCCACUUGGAGCAGGAGGAGCAGGAAUCUGCCUGGCAAGAUGGAAAACAGGGAAGAGGCAGCAGGGAAUGCCUUUGGAGUGAGCCAGAUGAAGGCUGUCAGAGAGCAAGGGCCGUGAGAGAAGGUGGUGUGUGGAAAGGAGCUGGCAGGACUGCACUGGGCAGCAGGAGCACUGACUGUAGAGUCUGGGGAGCAGCUUUGAGAGCAGAGCUCCACUGGCUGUUCCAGCUGUCUGCAGACUCCUGAAGCCUGAGCCCAUCUCCUGGGACAUUCACCUCCUGACAUGUAAGGCCUCAAAGGAAAACCUCCUUCAAAGCACACACACACUGGCUUGACCCAAAAGUGAUCCAGGCACAUAAAAUUUGGGAAAACAGGAAGACUUCUGGAUGUGGUGACCUCUGUCUGACAGACCGAGUGGAAGCUGCAGGUCUGUGCAGCCUUUCCCCAGGGAGCACUCAGAUGGUUCUCAUGGCUUUGUCCCACAGGUGGGCACCAGGGAUUCCCAGCACAGCCUCCACGGGGCACCAGGCACGCCUCUCAGUGACCCUGGGCUGCUCCUCCCUGUUCAUCCCUGCUCAUCCAGCUGAGACAGGUCCUGCCCGUGCUGCAGGCAGUCCCUGACCCCAGCACAGCCAGCAGCUGGGGGUUUUGCUUGCAGCAAGGCAGAUUUUAAUCACCUGCCAGUUUUUGACUUCAUGUCUCCCAAGGAGCUCCGCCAGCCUUUCAGCGUGUGGCAGCUGACUGCACACCCCAAAGUCUUUUGUUACAAGUAUUUAUGUAUUUAAAUGAUGGGCAAAAGAAUGUUACAUCGGAUUUCUUAGGAGCACUGGGAAGGGCUCAGACCAGGUUGUGAGCCCUGAACUCCUCUUUGAAAAUGGUCCCAAUGCUCUGGGCUGGUCCUGCUUAGCAGACCCAGACCUGGACUGAAACACUCAUGGCUGAGCGCUCCAGCAGCCUCAGGUGCUACAGGCAGCUAAGGACAUCCUCCAGGCCUUGGAGAGCUUUCCUGGGCUUUAGGAUAAGGAGCUUCCCCACCUGGGCCAGGCCAGAGCCACAGGGAAAACUGGCUGAAGCAGUCAACUCAUGUAGUGCCAAGAAGCAGCUUUUCUCCCUUCACCUGGGAAGCUGUGGCUGACCAGCACCCACAGGAUGCUCGUCAUUAAGGGAUAUUUUGGGCUUUUGACUCUGGCCACGCUCACCACCACGGGGGCUGAAGGCAGCUGCACCCUGCCCCGAGGCUGGGGACUGUCACACUCCGCAGCAGAAGUGAGAACGUGUUUCUAAAAAAUAAUAAAUUUUUCCUUUGCAACAUU
Molecule: long non-coding RNA, 2188 nt
Organism: Serinus canaria (Common canary)
Lineage: Eukaryota; Metazoa; Chordata; Aves; Passeriformes; Fringillidae
Exons: 2
Source: RefSeq, a predicted model, not a curated record